RNAcentral lists this ribosomal RNA (434 nucleotides) under uncultured bacterium. Its description in RNAcentral is "partial 16S ribosomal RNA". It matches the Rfam family "Bacterial small subunit ribosomal RNA", at positions 29 to 507 of the family's 1533-position model. The record is from RNAcentral.
AGCGAACGCUGGCGGCAGGCCUAACACAUGCAAGUCGAACGAACCUUUCGGGGUUAGUGGCGGACGGGUGAGUAACACGUGGGAACGUGCCUUUAGGUUCGGAAUAACUCAGGGAAACUUGUGCUAAUACCGAAUGUGCCCUUCGGGGGAAAGAUUAAUCGCCUUUAGAGCGGCCCGCGUCUGAUUAGCUAGUUGGUUGAGGUAAUGGCUCACCAAGGCGACGAUCAGUAGCUGGUCUGAGAGGAUGAUCAGCCACAUUGGGACUGAGACACGGCCCAAACUCCUACGGGAGGCAGCAGUGGGGAAUCUUGCGCAAUGGGCGAAAGCCUGACGGAGCCAUGCCGCGUGAAUGAUGAAGGUCUUAGGAUUGUAAAAUUCUUUCACCGGGGACGAUAAUGACGGUACCCGGAGAAGAAGCCCCGGCUAACUUCGUG